Long non-coding RNA from Parus major (Great Tit), 426 nucleotides. NCBI's taxonomy places the organism in Eukaryota, Metazoa, Chordata, Aves, Passeriformes, Paridae. The record is from Ensembl.
AUGCAAAAUAUUCAGGAAUACUUUCCAUGUAGUUAUGAAAAUAGACUAGGAAAAUUAUCACAUUCUCAGGACUGGGUUACAUUUUUAUAUCUUAUCAUAGAGCAGUUAAUUUCUGGCUAUUUCUUGCAGGACCUAACCCCAGCUGCUGGCUCCUUCCAGAGGCAGGACUUUGCACACAAAUGGCACAGACAGCAGUGCCCUCUCUCCCAUCAGCAGUGGACUUGUGGCACUGAGAUGUCCAAGGAUCACACCGAGAGAAUUCCUGCUGAGCUCCUGCUGUGGAAGAGCUGGCACAGACAGGAAGAAAAGCUGCUUUUAAGAUUUUCCACUGAAUUUUUUUUAUUAGCACUCACAAAACAAAGGAGAGAAGAGAGCAGAAGAUCCUAUGGCUCUUUAAUUGCACCUUUUCUUCUGUAUCCUUCAUGA